This 492-nucleotide ribosomal RNA is filed under the name uncultured bacterium. RNAcentral's name for it is "partial 16S ribosomal RNA". It matches the Rfam family "Bacterial small subunit ribosomal RNA", at positions 29 to 507 of the family's 1533-position model. The record is from RNAcentral.
AGUGAACGCUGGCGGUAGGCCUAACACAUGCAAGUCGAACGGCAGCACAGUAAGAGCUUGCUCUUACGGGUGGCGAGUGGCGGACGGGGGAGGAAUACAUCGGAAUCUACUUUUUCGUGGGGGAUAACGUAGGGAAACUUACGCGAAUACCGCAUACGACCUACGGGUGAAAGCAGGGGAUCUUCGGACCUUGCGCGAUUGAAUGAGCCGAUGUCGGAUUAGCUAGUUGGCGGGGUAAAGGCCCACCAAGGCGACGAUCCGUAGCUGGUCUGAGAGGAUGAUCAGCCACACUGGAACUGAGACACGGUCCCGACUCCUACGGGGGGAAGCAGUGGGGAAUAUUGGACGAUGGGCGAAAGCCUGAUCCAGCCAUACCGCGUGGGUGAAGAAGGCCUUCGGGUUGUAAAGCCCUUUUGUUGGGAAAGAAAAGCAGCAGGUUAAUACCCCGCUGUUCUGACGGUACCCAAAGAAUAAGCACCGGCUAACUUCGUG